This 538-nucleotide small RNA is filed under the name Pan troglodytes (chimpanzee). RNAcentral describes it as "retained intron". The record is from RNAcentral. Lineage: Eukaryota; Metazoa; Chordata; Mammalia; Primates; Hominidae.
UUUUAAACAAUCUGAACUUCCUGUGACCUGUGGUGAGGUGAAGGGCACUCUAUAUAAGGAGCGAUUCAAACAAGGAACCUCGAAGAAGUGUAUACAGAGUGAGGAUAAAAAGUGGUUCACUCCCAGGGAAUUUGAAAUUGAAGGAGACCGCGGAGCAUCCAAGAACUGGAAGCUAAGUAUACGCUGCGGUGGAUAUACCCUGAAAGUCCUGAUGGAGGUAUUCUAGUGACAGAUGGCUGAAACCAAGGAUUUAGCUGUCAUGCUUCACUAACACCAAGCUUUAGCAGAAUUUCUCAGUGCCCAGAAAUUCAUCAUGACUUCCUCUGCCCAGGUCUCCAUGCAUAUGUUAUUACUAACGUUCUCACCUGAACAUUACGUUGGCUGGCUUAUAUUACAGCUUAAUCCUCUAAGUACUUUAUUUCUUACCCUUUUGAAGGUUGGACAGUAAAUUGUGGCCUUGACUCUGCCAUUAAUAAACUGUGGAAUUUGGUCACAUGAAAGUAACUUAAGUUGGAGGGGAGGUCUUAAAUUUGCGGGG